UACGUAGGGGGCAAGCGUUAUCCGGAUUUACUGGGUGUAAAGGGAGCGUAGACGGCGAUGCAAGUCUGAAGUGAAAGGCGGGGGCCCAACCCCCGGACUGCUUUGGAAACUGUAUGGCUGGAGUGCAGGAGAGGUAAGUGGAAUUCCUAGUGUAGCGGUGAAAUGCAUAGAUAUUAGGAGGAACACCAGUGGCGAAGGCGGCUUACUGGACUGUAACUGACGUUGAGGCUCGAAAGCGUGGGGAGCAAACAGG
RNAcentral lists this ribosomal RNA (253 nucleotides) under uncultured bacterium. Its description in RNAcentral is "partial 16S ribosomal RNA". It matches the Rfam family "Bacterial small subunit ribosomal RNA", at positions 524 to 776 of the family's 1533-position model. The record is from RNAcentral.